AUGCCCCAGUAACGGCGAAGUGAAGCGGCAACAGCUCAAAUUUGAAAUCUGGCCUCGUGCCCGAGUUGUAAUUUGUAGAGGAUGCUUUUGGCGACGCGCCUUCCGAGUUCCCUGGAACGGGACGCCAUAGAGGGUGAGAGCCCCGUCCGGUCGUGCGCCUAGCCUCUGUAAAGCUCCUUCGACGAGUCGAGUAGUUUGGGAAUGCUGCUCUAAAUGGGAGGUAUACGUCUUCUAAAGCUAAAUACCGGCCAGAGACCGAUAGCGCACAAGUAGAGUGAUCGAAAGAUGAAAAGCACUUUGAAAAGAGGGUUAAAUAGUACGUGAAAUUGCUGAAAGGGAAGCGCUUAUGACCAGACUUGGGCGCGGCGGAUCAUCCGGCGUUCUCGCCGGUGCACUCCACCGCCCCAGGCCAGCAUCAGUUCGCGCCGGGGGAUAAAGGCUUCGGGAAUGUGGCUCUCUCGGGAGUGUUAUAGCCCGCUGCGUAAUACCCUGGCGCGGACUGAGGUCCGCGCUCUGCAAGGAUGCUGGCGUAAUGGUCAUCAGUGACCCGUCUUGAAACACGGACCAAGGAGUCGUCUUCGUAUGCGAGUGUUCGGGUGUCAAACCCCUACGCGGAAUGAAAGUGAACGUAGGAGAGAGCUUCGGCGCAUCUCCGACCGAUCCUGAUGUUCUCGGAUGGAUUUGAGUAAGAGCAUACGGGGCCGGACCCGAAAGAAGGUGAACUAUGCCUGUGUAGGGUGAAGCCAGAGGAAAACUCUGGUGGAGGCUCGCAGCGGUUCUGACGUGCAAAUCGAUCGUCAAACAUGGGCAUGGGGCGAAAGACUAAUCG
This 829-nucleotide ribosomal RNA is filed under the name Emericellopsis glabra. RNAcentral describes it as "LSU rRNA". It matches the Rfam family "Eukaryotic large subunit ribosomal RNA", at positions 73 to 937 of the family's 3401-position model. The record is from RNAcentral. Lineage: Eukaryota; Fungi; Ascomycota; Sordariomycetes; Hypocreales; Bionectriaceae.